GACGAACGCUGGCGGCGUGCUUAACACAUGCAAGUCGAACGGAAAGGCCCUGCUCUUGUGGGGUGCGCGUGUGGCGAACGGGUGUGAAACACGCGUAUAACCUGCCCUUGACUGUGGGAUAACUUCAGGAAACUGGGUCUAAUACCGGAUAGGAGCUCCUGCUUCAUGGUGGGGGUUGGAAAGUUUCGGCGGUUGGGGAUGGACUCGCGGCUUAUCAGCUUGUUGGUGGGGUAGUGGCUUACCAGGGCUUUGACGGGUAGCCGCCCAGAGAGGGUGACCGGCCCCAUUGGGCUUGGGAUACGGCCCGGACUCCUACGGGGGGAAGGGAUGGGAAAUUUUGCACAAUGGGCGGAGGCCGGAUGCAGCAACGCCGGGUGGGGGAUGACGGCUUUCGGAUUGUAACCCGCUUUAGCCUGGAACGAACAGUGUGUGACGGUAAUGGGUAAAGAAGCACCGGCUAACUACGUG
Molecule: ribosomal RNA, 468 nt
Filed under: uncultured bacterium
Lineage: Bacteria
Description: partial 16S ribosomal RNA
Rfam family: Bacterial small subunit ribosomal RNA
Source: RNAcentral